CUAUUAGGUUGGUGCAAAAGUAAUUGCGUUUUUUGCCAUUAAAAAUGGACAAAAUAGCAAUUACUUUUGCACCAACCUA
RNAcentral lists this microRNA precursor (79 nucleotides) under Gorilla gorilla gorilla (western lowland gorilla). RNAcentral's name for it is "miRNA (ENSGGOG00000030584.2)". The record is from RNAcentral. Lineage: Eukaryota; Metazoa; Chordata; Mammalia; Primates; Hominidae.